This 908-nucleotide long non-coding RNA is filed under the name Cervus hanglu yarkandensis (Yarkand deer). Its description in RNAcentral is "lncRNA (ENSCHYG00000003570.1)". The record is from RNAcentral. Lineage: Eukaryota; Metazoa; Chordata; Mammalia; Artiodactyla; Cervidae.
AUGCAAAACGGUCCUUUGGACCCCCGAGAACGUGAGGUUAAAAAAAAAAAAAAAAAAAUCCAGCUCGGGGACGCCGUCCUUUUCCUGUCUGUCUGCCAGGUGAGAAAGCAGGCGGGGCUGGCGCGGGAACGGGGCGGCGGCCCGGCCGGCGCGCACCACGCGGUCGCUCUCCCCGGCUCACCCGGGGCUGGAGCGCUCGGGCCGCCGGCGCCGCCGACCGCGUGCCAGCGCUUUGUGCACGUGCGUGGGUUGGCUCGCCCGGUGCGGGGCUCAGAGCGCGCCCCGAAAAGUCUGCGGGGCUGUCUCUCGCCCACCCAGGGUGCCAAAGAAGAGCUGCAAACUGUGAAGUAACUUCUAUGAAGAGAUGAAGUGAAGAAUGGAAGGCAAAUGACUGUAUGUGUAUGUGGUGAGUGCUUAACAUUUGUUAUUAUCAUCCAUCACAAAGUUAAUUCAUAAAGGUGAAACUGCCAAACUCUUUUGUCAUUAGGUACUUAUAUUGUAAACAUGUAUAAAAGUGAUGAGUGUUACAUAACCAUUAUGUGAUCUGUUAUAUAGCAAUACCAUAGCAUUUUGCUUAAAGCUCACAUGUCACCUUUCAGGGCAUACCUUUACAAGUCUGUUUUACAAUGAAUCCAUUUCAGGGAGGUUAUGUAUGUCAUAUCUACUGUUAACUAUGGAAAAGAUAUAACAUUUUUUAUAUGCUUGGAAUUUCUAUCCUACUACUUUUUAUAUCUGAACUUCUGUGUUAAUCAUGUUUGUGUUGAAAGUAUUCUGGCUGGAGAACAGAUACUACACAGUUGAAUAAUAUUGAGGGGUAGAUUAAUCUAUAGACUUUCUUCAUUUUAGGGUGGGUUGCUGUGGCAACCACCCAGCUUACUUUAAGAUAAUUUUUUAAAGCUCAUUUCAAG